This 214-nucleotide ribosomal RNA is filed under the name uncultured bacterium. RNAcentral's name for it is "partial 16S ribosomal RNA". It matches the Rfam family "Bacterial small subunit ribosomal RNA", at positions 328 to 539 of the family's 1533-position model. The record is from RNAcentral.
ACGCUCGACACCUGGAGGCAGCAGUGAGGAAUAUUGGUCAAUGGGCGCAGGCCUGAACCAGCCAAGUAGCGUGAAGGAUGACUGCCCUAUGGGUUGUAAACUUCUUUUAUAUGGGAAUAAAGUUUUCCACGUGUGGAAUUUUGUAUGUACCAUAUGAAUAAGGAUCGGCUAACUCCGUGCCACAGCCGCGGUAAUCUGAGCGGGCUGGCAAGGC